CCUACGGGUGGCAGCAGUAGGGAAUAUUGCUCAAUGGGGGAAACCCUGAAGCAGCAACGCCGCGUGGAGGAUGAAGGUUUUCGGAUUGUAAACUCCUUUUGUUAGAGAAGAUAAUGACGGUAUCUAACGAAUAAGCACCGGCUAACUCCUUGCCAGCAGCCGCGGUAAUACGGAGGGUGCAAGCGUUACUCGGAAUCACUGGGCGUAAAGAGCGCGUAGGCGGGAUAGCAAGUCAGAUGUGAAAUCCUAGGGCUUAACCAUAGAACUGCAUGUGAAACUGUUAUUCUAGAGUAUGGGAGAGGUAGGUGGAAUUAUUGGUGUAGGGGUAAAAUCCGUAGAGAUCAAGAGGAAUACUCAUUGCGAAGGCGACCUGCUAGAACAUAACUGACGCUGAUGCGCGAAAGCGUGGGGAGCAAACAGGAUUAGAUACCCCAGUAGUC
RNAcentral lists this ribosomal RNA (440 nucleotides) under uncultured bacterium. RNAcentral describes it as "partial 16S ribosomal RNA". It matches the Rfam family "Bacterial small subunit ribosomal RNA", at positions 338 to 795 of the family's 1533-position model. The record is from RNAcentral.